CUUUAUUGGAGAGUUUGAUCCUGGCUCAGGAUGAACGCUGGCGGCGUGCCUAAUACAUGCAAGUCGAGCGAAUGGAUUAAGAGCUUGCUCUUAUGAAGUUAGCGGCGGACGGGUGAGUAACACG
RNAcentral lists this ribosomal RNA (124 nucleotides) under Bacillus thuringiensis serovar yunnanensis. RNAcentral describes it as "partial 16S ribosomal RNA". It matches the Rfam family "Bacterial small subunit ribosomal RNA", at positions 1 to 117 of the family's 1533-position model. The record is from RNAcentral. Lineage: Bacteria; Bacillati; Bacillota; Bacilli; Caryophanales; Bacillaceae.